GACGAACGCUGGCGGCGUGCUUAACACAUGCAAGUCGAGCGGUAAGGCCCUUCGGGGGUACACGAGCGGCGAACGGGUGAGUAACACGUGGGUGACCUGCCUUUAGCUCUGGGAUAAGCCUGGGAAACCGGGUCUAAUACCGGAUAUGACUCCGCGGCGCAUGUUGUGGGGUGGAAAGCCUUGUGCGGCUGGAGAUGGGCCCGCGGCCUAUCAGCUUGUUGGUGGGGUGAUGGCCUACCAAGGCGACGACGGGUAGCCGGCCUGAGAGGGCGACCGGCCACACUGGGACUGAGACACGGCCCAGACUCCUACGGGAGGCAGCAGUGGGGAAUCUUGCGCAAUGGGCGAAAGCCUGACGCAGCGACG
RNAcentral lists this ribosomal RNA (366 nucleotides) under uncultured bacterium. RNAcentral describes it as "bacterial SSU rRNA". It matches the Rfam family "Bacterial small subunit ribosomal RNA", at positions 28 to 396 of the family's 1533-position model. The record is from RNAcentral.